Long non-coding RNA from Drosophila santomea, 1693 nucleotides. RefSeq lists it as uncharacterized. The transcript has 3 exons. The record is from RefSeq and is a predicted model, not a curated record. Lineage: Eukaryota; Metazoa; Arthropoda; Insecta; Diptera; Drosophilidae.
UAUAUCUAUGUGUUUAGUUUUGUUUUGUCUGAUUUUAGUUUUUGACUUUUCUUUUGCAGGUCCAGAUUGUCCAGGAUUUUAAAUUUGUCCGGUGGGAUUUGGGAAGGAAAGCGAUGCCAUGGAUUUAUAAGAAGCAUCGUUGGGGAGGUUCGUGUAUGUCGGGAUAUUUUCAUUAUACCACUACUAUUAUAAAGAGGUCGAAUUUGAGGGUCACCAUUUUGGCCUUUUGCCGGGCCGGCAGCGCCACACCCAGAAUUCAGAAGGGCGAGGGGGCAUUCCGACAUGGAAACGGCAUCAAAACAUUAUACGUUUUUAAUGUUUUAAGUGCCAAAAACAUCGUAUUCUGUUGCGUCUAGUAGGGAUAUUGUAGUUGCUACCGGGAAAAAAGUUGAAUUCAGGGGUCACGAUUUUGACCUUUUGCCGGGUCGGCAGCGCCGCACCAAGGGUCAAUAAAAUCGAGGGUGCUUCUUGACAUGGGGACGGCAUCGAAAAUUUUGUGCAUUUUUAUAUAUAUUAUUAUAUAUUACACUGUUAUGUGUUUUGAUUAAAUUAUUACAAUCUUUAACGGAGAUUUCGUCAAUAUUGCAUUUCUGAGGGAAAAAAGUCAGUUUUAGAGGUUUCUAUUUCGACCUUUUGCCGGGUCGGCGGCACCACUCCUAUGGUCUGUAAAAACGUGGGGGAAUCCCAAUAAGGAAACUGCGUCAAAACAUUGCCUGUUUUUUGUGUUCUUAGUGUCAAAAAGUUGGUUUGUCCAUUACGCCAAGUCGGGUCGUCUUUUGUCAUCGAGUACAGCUUUCGGGGAGAUUGCCGCUGAUUGUUUCAGGACCUUACAAAGGAUCUACAGCAAAAGGAUCUGCGGCAAAAGGUUCAGAUAAGUGACGUUGUGCAUACGCUGCUGCAAUAAGUCGACUUAGUUUCGUCAUGUUUUUGCCGCACGUAGGUCCUUCGCGUGUCCGUCUGCUUCUAGAUACAUCUUUGCUAGUCUUGUUAGGUGACAUCCUUCAUAUGCGCUUCGUCGGAAUCAGCAGGGAUGAGUCGUCGAGGGGGUACUUCGUCCGUGUUUCGCAGGUCAUUAGGAUAGAGAUGAGGGCACUUUGCUGUCGCUUGGGUAUUAUUGUUUCAGUGAAAUAGCCCGCAUCCAUAGCUUUAUUGUAGAUUUUGAGUAAUGAACAUGUCUUGAUUGAUAACUUGUAAUGUGUGUUAACUGCUUUGACAGGCUUUUCCUUUGGUUUUAAGCCCAAAUACCAGAGGAUAUACCCUCAAUUUAGUUUUUUUUUUUUUUUUUUUUUAGAAUAAAGAGCAGUUAAGCAUUUCAAAUACGUAAUAUUCAGCCAUAAAUUGCUGCAAUAAGUCGACUUAGUUUCGUCAUGUUUUUGCCGCACGUUGAUCCUUCGCGUGUCCGUCUGCUUCUGGGUACAUCUUUGCUAGUCUUAUUAGGUGACGUCCUUCAUAUGCGCUUCGUCGGGGUCAGCAGGGAUGAGUCGUCGAGGGGGUACUUCGUCCGUGUUUCGCAGUUUAUUAGGAUAGAGAUGAAGACACUUUGCUGUCGCUUGGGUAUUAUUGUUUCAGUGAAAAAGCCCGCAUCCAUAGCUUUAAUGUAGAUUUUAAAUAAUGAACAUGUCUUGAUUGAAAACUUGUGAUGUGUGUUAACUGCUUUGACAGGCUUUUCCUUUGGUUUUAAGCUUAAAUACCA